UUUCCCUCAUGAGAAGUGAAUACUGAGGAUAACAUUAACGCUGAAUAGCUGUGCCUAUAUUUAGAUAGUAAUAUCUAGCUAUAUCAUAAUAUAGUUAAUAAACAGGCACAUGUCAUUAUUAUGAUUAGUAACGUGCUAGUUUUUAUGGAGUCCAUGCCAGUGCCUUAGAGUGUGUCAUAUGGAGUGUGACAGGGUUAAGCAGAGAAGGAGUGCAAGCCCCACCCCGGCACUAGGGUGUUGCCAGACUUGUGUAACAUGCGUAUGCCCAGGUAAGCAGGCACAAGGGGAACAUGAAUGCAGUCUGACAAGUCGGGUAAGAAUUGACAGGAGGCGAUUUAGGGAAGAGAACCCCUGGACGUCUCCUAGCAACAAGCGAGCUGUAGGUGCAGCAGGUGUAGCAAACGUGCUCAGUGCUGCUGCUCUGCCUGAGGAGGCUAAGGGCUGCCACAGUCGUGAGGGGAAAGGGCAGGCACGUCUAAGGAUUACCUGCUCAGGGCACGACAAACUGCAGUGUGUGGGUGGAGAAGAACUACACGGAUAAACCCUUCCAGGCUGAUUGGAGCAUUCUCUGGCAUGGUUACAAAUGUGCUCUCUGCUUCUGCUGCGAACACAUUGUUCACAAGUAACACAUUCUUUUCCUAAAGGAACAAUAGGGAUACGGGAAUAGCAGGCGGACUCGGGCACAUUGCGUGCCUCCCUGAAGGAAAAUGAUGAGGUACGGCUCCGCGGCGACUGUCACUACUUCAGAGACUGCGAGUUCCCAGAAACCAGGAGGAGUUUGCCGGUUGCGUCUCACGUUGCCUGCAGAAGCAAGCUUACGGCCGAAGCAAGAAGAAAUUAAUAGAGACACUUCUGUAAACGCUGAUAUUAGAAGCACAAACGAAAGGAGGAAAAAAAGAAAUGGCUAUGUUUUGUCUGAAAAGAACACAGCGGAGCCACCAACCCUUCAUCUCUACACCAUUCCCAAAAACAAUACACCAUCUGCAGUGGCUUCCAGUGGAGUGGUGUAUGGUGUUGUGCAGAGGGCUGAAAACAACCAUCAGAAUGAGGUUGUUGUCUAUGAGUGGUCUACUAACCAGCUGAAGGAAGAGAUGAACUACAUCAAAGAUGUGAGAGGAACUUUGGAAAAAAUCAGAGAGAAAAUGUUUGGAGAGUAUGAUGAGAUGAAACAAAAAGUUAAACAGCUCACUCAAGAAAUAAAAGUUUCAUCAGUGCAGAAGGAGUUCUUGGAGAGCCACUCCCAGGCGCAAUCUACAGCACUGGACACCUUUGGAACAAUCAACAGUUCCCUGAAUGCAGCUUCUAUAGAAAUGCAGAAAACUCUAGUGGAUAUGACCUUGGAAAACACCAACAUUAAGGAUGAAAUGAAGAAUAUAAAACAUUCGUAUGAAGAAUCCUUGGUCAGACUGAAAGAGAAGCAGCAGUUGUUGGACUCUGCCCAAACUGAAAACCAGUUGUUAAAAGUCAAGAUUGAAUCCUCCCAGGAAGCUAAUGCUGAGGUCAUGAGAGAGAUGACACGAAAAUUGUACAGUCAGUAUGAAGAAAAGCUUCGUCAAGAGGAACUGAAAUAUACUGCAGAAAAAGAUAUGCUUGUGGAUCAAACAAGGCAGUACCUAAAAGCAAUUGAAGAUGCUAGCGAGAAGGUUCGCCUUGCUGAGAAUAAAAUUGAAGAAAGAGAUGCAAAAAUUGCAGAACUUGACAAAUUAGUGCAUCGCAUGGAACAGGAACGAGAGCAUCUGCAAGACCAAUUGAUUAGACAUGAAGAACGAAUACAAGAUCUUGAUAACAGGAUGCAGAUGCAAUCACCAGACAGGAACCAACGUUUAGAAGAGGUUGCAACAAGUUUAAGAGAGCGCAUUAAGCACCUGGAUGACAUGGUUCAUUGCCAACAAAAGAAGGUUAAACAUAUGAUUGAAGAGAUUGAAUUGCUUAAGAAAAAGGUUCACUACAAAGACUUACUUAUCCAGCAGCUGCUAGAACGGAUUGCCUUUCUGGAAGGAGAGAACACAGAGCUACAAGAUAAGGUGGACUACUUGAUGGCAAACAAACCAAAAACUGACAAAGAAACCAAAGAUAUUGGAACAUCAUGUAAUCUUUCAGAAAGUCAAAGGAUUCUAACUGUCUGUGUAACCGAAAAUGAGGCCCGAUCAAUAUUCAGUAUCUGAACGACUGGCUGCUAUUGUUUUACAAUACAGCAGCCAGGGGAUAUAAGAGAAGUGCAUCAGUUGAUGGCUCUACACAGUCCACUUCAGUAAAUAAUGAAGACAUCCCUGAUGGAUACAGCAGAGAAAAACAUUCCAGAAUGCCUGCCAAGCGAUCAUACACUCCUUACAUGAGGGUUCUACAAAUGAGCAUGAGUCACAAGGUCUCCUAAAUACAGGUUCAGCAAGACAAGUUGAUAACUGACAACUCAACAACCAAAUAAGAUUUAUAUCUUGUAUUAUGAAGCCAUGAAAAGAUUUUCUUCUUGAACUCCAGCUGCAACAUUCUGCAUUUUGUUUCCCAUUGUAAAGUGGCUACAGAAGCUACACUUUAGUUUGUACUACCCUCAGCCCCCUUCAUUUCCAUGCAAACAAAAGUAAGCCAUAUUCUUGUUAAGAGGUCUUUGUAACCUGAAGAUACAAGAUGAAUGUUGCAGAUGCUUAAGCUAUACCUAGAGCCAUCUUCAACUGAGCCAAAACUGACAAGCCCAGCAUCACCGUUCUAUGCAAGAAAUAUAUGCUACAUUCUAUCUGUGGUUGCUGAGUGGAUAUCAUGAAGAACUGCUGGCCUCUAGCCAUCCCCACUGCGUCUUUAAAUGUAUAAGGGGCCCCUGUGAUAGGGGUUCUACAUGUAUAGUGUCAGGGAAUACUCAUGUACUGUCAGUGUUUCUGUCCAAGUACCAAUUUAUUGCCAUAUACCAAAAUAACUCAAGUCUAAAGUUGCAUAUAACCACAGAGGGACAAAAUUGUGUAUCAUAAAUGAGAAACAAUAUUCAUGGUUUUAUUUGUUUUGCUGAAGACACAAAAACAGACACAUAUUCAUAUAUCUUAACUGUCUUAAAAUUCAAAGUCAUUUAUGAGUUUGAAAGAGCUGUGAUUUUACAAGGGCCAACUUGUAGCUCUGCACGUGGCAUAUGCAUUGUUAUCUGUGUUCAAAUGAUACAAGACACUGCCAAAGUCUUCUUAACAGUUUAUUUUAUUGAACUCUAUUUUAGAGCGAUACAUGAUAUUCAUCAAUGCAUGGCAAUAUUUACAAGCUAUAUUGUUUCAUCUCUAUUAUUUCACCUUUGCCAUAAACAUAAAACUGUCCUGUCACAGAAAUCCAUUAUAAACUAUACACAACAUACUCUAGCAGUAAUCUUACCAAAGUUAUAUUUUCUCUGUCAGACAGGUAUUUUUACUUCUGAUAAUGGCACUGUUAAAUGCCUUAAAUGGGAGCUUAUGGGUGGCAUUACUGGGGCAAAAGAAUGUGUUAUAUCCUGAAAGAAUAUGACAUUUACUGUAUAGGCCAGAAUAAGCUUUGGAGGGUAUGUGAGAUAAAACGACCCACAUUUUCUGUACUGGCUAGAACAUUCUAGGUGUGCCUGUGUGCAUUUGUAAAUACACAAACUCUUGUAUUUCUCUUUAUAAAUUCUCAAUGUCUUGGGUGCUUGUAUUCUUUAACAUUGUGCUUUGAUUGCAAUAUAUUUAUUUGUAUGAAUCUGAAACCAUGCAUUUUGUGUGAGAGAAAGUUAUAUAACAGUAACAGAUAACUUUUAACAUAAGAACACUAUCAAUCUAUUAACAAUUUAAGUGCCUAAAUUGUUGAACCUACUGCCCUGCCAGCCCUGUAGAUUCUUAAUUUCCUUCUGGCACUUUGAUCUGAUCUGUGCUGCUGUUUAUAUGAAGAAUGGGGUCCAGUAGAUCGAAAAACUGCCAGCACUCAAUAGAUUAAAAGAUACAUAAACUUUAAGCUGCAUUUUAUAGCUCUAUUUAUAUCAUUACAUGCCUAGGCAAUGUACAUUAAUGACAGAUUCAUGGGCAGGGACAUUUAGCCCAGGUCUACUUGGUUAAAUGACAUCCAUUAAAGGUGGAAAUGCUAGUCAUAGGGUUGAAGAGCAUUCUCAUUGUCUUUUAAUUAACUGUAAACAAUAAUUAAACAACAGUUUAAAAAAGUGGUUUUAUUAGGGUUAUUUAAAUUGCCUUUAAUAAUUAAACAUGCUAUAUGCAAGUACCGCCAUGUGCCUUACUGUGUAAUAUACCUUUAUUUUCUUACUGUGCAGUUCUUCUGGUUAUGUUUUAUUUCAGUGUUAUAUAAAAUUAUGCAACCAGUAACCUAAACAUAAAAGCUAUUUUGAUAGUAGACUGUACAUUGUUUAAAACAUGUAACAUCUGUAAAUGAACAUUUUGUAAGUAAAACAGACUACAAUGACUCCUACUGAAUACUAAUUGCUCAGGUUGGGGCUAACAAACAUAAGCAUUUCUACCUUACAAAGCGAAAUACUGUGGAACAAUUACAUACAAUUAAAUUACUUCAAGUAACUCAGAACUGUGAUUUUUUUUUGUGUAACUUGCUAUUAAAAAUCCACAAGGUAACCACAACAUAAUUUUACAUUAUUAAAUAUGCUUUAGUUAUUGUAAAAUAAAUGUUAUGGAAGACUCUAA
Xenopus tropicalis (tropical clawed frog) is the source of this 4625-nucleotide RNA transcript. It is a transcript of the gene named myocardial zonula adherens protein, with no coding region annotated. The record is from RefSeq and is marked validated. Lineage: Eukaryota; Metazoa; Chordata; Amphibia; Anura; Pipidae. The transcript has 16 exons.